This 234-nucleotide ribosomal RNA is filed under the name Salmonella enterica subsp. enterica serovar Agona str. 400096 16. RNAcentral describes it as "partial 16S ribosomal RNA". It matches the Rfam family "Bacterial small subunit ribosomal RNA", at positions 990 to 1224 of the family's 1533-position model. The record is from RNAcentral. Lineage: Bacteria; Pseudomonadati; Pseudomonadota; Gammaproteobacteria; Enterobacterales; Enterobacteriaceae.
ACAGAAGAAUCCAGAGAUGGAUUUGUGCCUUCGGGAACUGUGAGACAGGUGCUGCAUGGCUGUCGUCAGCUCGUGUUGUGAAAUGUUGGGUUAAGUCCCGCAACGAGCGCAACCCUUAUCCUUUGUUGCCAGCGAUUAGGUCGGGAACUCAAAGGAGACUGCCAGUGAUAAACUGGAGGAAGGUGGGGAUGACGUCAAGUCAUCAUGGCCCUUACGACCAGGGCUACACACGUG